RNAcentral lists this ribosomal RNA (4092 nucleotides) under Staphylococcus aureus. RNAcentral's name for it is "bacterial LSU rRNA". The stretch from base 1170 to 4092 matches the Rfam family "Bacterial large subunit ribosomal RNA". Lineage: Bacteria; Bacillati; Bacillota; Bacilli; Caryophanales; Staphylococcaceae. The record is from RNAcentral.
UUAAGUUAUUAAGGGCGCACGGUGGAUGCCUUGGCACUAGAAGCCGAUGAAGGACGUUACUAACGACGAUAUGCUUUGGGGAGCUGUAAGUAAGCUUUGAUCCAGAGAUUUCCGAAUGGGGAAACCCAGCAUGAGUUAUGUCAUGUUAUCGAUAUGUGAAUACAUAGCAUAUCAGAAGGCACACCCGGAGAACUGAAACAUCUUAGUACCCGGAGGAAGAGAAAGAAAAUUCGAUUCCCUUAGUAGCGGCGAGCGAAACGGGAAGAGCCCAAACCAACAAGCUUGCUUGUUGGGGUUGUAGGACACUCUAUACGGAGUUACAAAGGACGACAUUAGACGAAUCAUCUGGAAAGAUGAAUCAAAGAAGGUAAUAAUCCUGUAGUCGAAAAUGUUGUCUCUCUUGAGUGGAUCCUGAGUACGACGGAGCACGUGAAAUUCCGUCGGAAUCUGGGAGGACCAUCUCCUAAGGCUAAAUACUCUCUAGUGACCGAUAGUGAANUGUAACACCCGAAGCCGGUGGAGUAACCUUUUAGGAGCUAGCCGUCGAAGGUGGGACAAAUGAUUGGGGUGAAGUCGUAACAAGGUAGCCGUAUCGGAAGGUGCGGCUGGAUCACCUCCUUUCUAAGGAUAUAUUCGGAACAUCUUCUUCAGAAGAUGCGGAAUAACGUGACAUAUUGUAUUCAGUUUUGAAUGUUUAUUUAACAUUCAAAUAUUUUUUGGUUAAAGUGAUAUUGCUUAUGCGAGCGCUUGACAAUCUAUUCUUUUUAAAGAAAGCGGUUGUCAGACAAUGCAUUAAGAAAAAUUAAAGCGGAGUUUACUUUUGUAAAUGAGCAUUUGAUUUUUUGAAAAUAAAGCAGUAUGCGAGCGCUUGACUAAAAAGAAAUUGUACAUUGAAAACUAGAUAAGUAAGUAAAAUAUAGAUUUUACCAAGCAAAACCGAGUGAAUAAAGAGUUUUAAAUAAGCUUGAAUUCAUAAGAAAUAAUCGCUAGUGUUCGAAAGAACACUCACAAGAUUAAUAACGCGUUUAAAUCUUUUUAUAAAAGAAAACGUUUAGCAGACAAUGAGUUAAAUUAUUUUAAAGCAGAGUUUACUUAUGUAAAUGAGCAUUUAAAAUAAUGAAAACGAAGCCGUAUGUGAGCGUUUGACUUAUAAAAAUGGUGGAAACAUAGAUUAAGUUAUUAAGGGCGCACGGUGGAUGCCUUGGCACUAGAAGCCGAUGAAGGACGUUACUAACGACGAUAUGCUUUGGGGAGCUGUAAGUAAGCUUUGAUCCAGAGAUUUCCGAAUGGGGAAACCCAGCAUGAGUUAUGUCAUGUUAUCGAUAUGUGAAUACAUAGCAUAUCAGAAGGCACACCCGGAGAACUGAAACAUCUUAGUACCCGGAGGAAGAGAAAGAAAAUUCGAUUCCCUUAGUAGCGGCGAGCGAAACGGGAAGAGCCCAAACCAACAAGCUUGCUUGUUGGGGUUGUAGGACACUCUAUACGGAGUUACAAAGGACGACAUUAGACGAAUCAUCUGGAAAGAUGAAUCAAAGAAGGUAAUAAUCCUGUAGUCGAAAAUGUUGUCUCUCUUGAGUGGAUCCUGAGUACGACGGAGCACGUGAAAUUCCGUCGGAAUCUGGGAGGACCAUCUCCUAAGGCUAAAUACUCUCUAGUGACCGAUAGUGAACCAGUACCGUGAGGGAAAGGUGAAAAGCACCCCGGAAGGGGAGUGAAAUAGAACCUGAAACCGUGUGCUUACAAGUAGUCAGAGCCCGUUAAUGGGUGAUGGCGUGCCUUUUGUAGAAUGAACCGGCGAGUUACGAUUUGAUGCAAGGUUAAGCAGUAAAUGUGGAGCCGUAGCGAAAGCGAGUCUGAAUAGGGCGUUUAGUAUUUGGUCGUAGACCCGAAACCAGGUGAUCUACCCUUGGUCAGGUUGAAGUUCAGGUAACACUGAAUGGAGGACCGAACCGACUUACGUUGAAAAGUGAGCGGAUGAACUGAGGGUAGCGGAGAAAUUCCAAUCGAACCUGGAGAUAGCUGGUUCUCUCCGAAAUAGCUUUAGGGCUAGCCUCAAGUGAUGAUUAUUGGAGGUAGAGCACUGUUUGGACGAGGGGCCCCUCUCGGGUUACCGAAUUCAGACAAACUCCGAAUGCCAAUUAAUUUAACUUGGGAGUCAGAACAUGGGUGAUAAGGUCCGUGUUCGAAAGGGAAACAGCCCAGACCACCAGCUAAGGUCCCAAAAUAUAUGUUAAGUGGAAAAGGAUGUGGCGUUGCCCAGACAACUAGGAUGUUGGCUUAGAAGCAGCCAUCAUUUAAAGAGUGCGUAAUAGCUCACUAGUCGAGUGACACUGCGCCGAAAAUGUACCGGGGCUAAACAUAUUACCGAAGCUGUGGAUUGUCCUUUGGACAAUGGUAGGAGAGCGUUCUAAGGGCGUUGAAGCAUGAUCGUAAGGACAUGUGGAGCGCUUAGAAGUGAGAAUGCCGGUGUGAGUAGCGAAAGACGGGUGAGAAUCCCGUCCACCGAUUGACUAAGGUUUCCAGAGGAAGGCUCGUCCGCUCUGGGUUAGUCGGGUCCUAAGCUGAGGCCGACAGGCGUAGGCGAUGGAUAACAGGUUGAUAUUCCUGUACCACCUAUAAUCGUUUUAAUCGAUGGGGGGACGCAGUAGGAUAGGCGAAGCGUGCGAUUGGAUUGCACGUCUAAGCAGUAAGGCUGAGUAUUAGGCAAAUCCGGUACUCGUUAAGGCUGAGCUGUGAUGGGGAGAAGACAUUGUGUCUUCGAGUCGUUGAUUUCACACUGCCGAGAAAAGCCUCUAGAUAGAAAAUAGGUGCCCGUACCGCAAACCGACACAGGUAGUCAAGAUGAGAAUUCUAAGGUGAGCGAGCGAACUCUCGUUAAGGAACUCGGCAAAAUGACCCCGUAACUUCGGGAGAAGGGGUGCUCUUUAGGGUUAACGCCCAGAAGAGCCGCAGUGAAUAGGCCCAAGCGACUGUUUAUCAAAAACACAGGUCUCUGCUAAACCGUAAGGUGAUGUAUAGGGGCUGACGCCUGCCCGGUGCUGGAAGGUUAAGAGGAGUGGUUAGCUUCUGCGAAGCUACGAAUCGAAGCCCCAGUAAACGGCGGCCGUAACUAUAACGGUCCUAAGGUAGCGAAAUUCCUUGUCGGGUAAGUUCCGACCCGCACGAAAGGCGUAACGAUUUGGGCACUGUCUCAACGAGAGACUCGGUGAAAUCAUAGUACCUGUGAAGAUGCAGGUUACCCGCGACAGGACGGAAAGACCCCGUGGAGCUUUACUGUAGCCUGAUAUUGAAAUUCGGCACAGCUUGUACAGGAUAGGUAGGAGCCUUUGAAACGUGAGCGCUAGCUUACGUGGAGGCGCUGGUGGGAUACUACCCUAGCUGUGUUGGCUUUCUAACCCGCACCACUUAUCGUGGUGGGAGACAGUGUCAGGCGGGCAGUUUGACUGGGGCGGUCGCCUCCUAAAAGGUAACGGAGGCGCUCAAAGGUUCCCUCAGAAUGGUUGGAAAUCAUUCAUAGAGUGUAAAGGCAUAAGGGAGCUUGACUGCGAGACCUACAAGUCGAGCAGGGUCGAAAGACGGACUUAGUGAUCCGGUGGUUCCGCAUGGAAGGGCCAUCGCUCAACGGAUAAAAGCUACCCCGGGGAUAACAGGCUUAUCUCCCCCAAGAGUUCACAUCGACGGGGAGGUUUGGCACCUCGAUGUCGGCUCAUCGCAUCCUGGGGCUGUAGUCGGUCCCAAGGGUUGGGCUGUUCGCCCAUUAAAGCGGUACGCGAGCUGGGUUCAGAACGUCGUGAGACAGUUCGGUCCCUAUCCGUCGUGGGCGUAGGAAAUUUGAGAGGAGCUGUCCUUAGUACGAGAGGACCGGGAUGGACAUACCUCUGGUGUACCAGUUGUCGUGCCAACGGCAUAGCUGGGUAGCUAUGUGUGGACGGGAUAAGUGCUGAAAGCAUCUAAGCAUGAAGCCCCCCUCAAGAUGAGAUUUCCCAACUUCGGUUAUAAGAUCCCUCAAAGAUGAUGAGGUUAAUAGGUUCGAGGUGGAAGCAUGGUGACAUGUGGAGCUGACGAAUACUAAUCGAUCGAAGACUUAAUCAA